AACGGCCGCUCGCCGCCCUCGGAACCGCUCGCCGCGACUCGCCCUCACGGUGCACAAUCCACAAAGGAAUUCCCGACGCAGACCGGCGACAGUCGCCAUUCUAGUUGAAUUUCGUGCUGGUGUUUUUUUUCUCGUUUGUCCGGCCGACGCACAAUUUCGAUCUCUCCUCGUCCGUUUUUCUUCCGUUUACUUCGUUUCGACUCCAGAACAUUGACAGAAUGGGCAAAUCGCAAAAUGACAAUAACCCAGAAGGUGAACAAUUCAGAAAAUUGUUUAUUGGAGGCUUGGACUACAGAACGACAGAUCAGUCUCUGAAAUCGUUUUAUGAACAAUGGGGUGAGAUUGUAGAUGUAGUUGUCAUGAAGCACCCACAAACCCAAAAGUCGAGGGGCUUUGGUUUUGUGACUUAUGCAAUGUCUAGCAUGGUUGACGAAGCUAUGAAAAAUAGGCCGCAUAAGAUUGACGGGAGGCAGGUUGAUUCUAAACGAGCUGUCCCUAGAGAUGAAAGUUCAGGUUCCACUGCCAAUGUCAAUGUUAAAAAGAUGUUUGUCGGUGGAUUGAAAGAACAGUCUGAGGCAGAUUUAAGAGAAUAUUUUGGUACAUUUGGAACGAUUGUCGGUAUUAAUAUUGUUAUGGAUAAAGCUACAGGGAAUAGGAAAGGGUUCGCUUUCAUCGAAUUUGAUGAUUAUGAUCCUGUAGACAAAGCUUUAUUGAGGAAAGAUCAUUCGAUAAACGGAAAAGGUGUGACUGUUAAAAAAGCUGUUGUUAAAGAUAACAAUAGUGGAAGUGGUCGUGGACCGAGGGGAUUAUCAGGAGGGCGAGGAGGAGGUGGUGGUGGUGGUGGUGGUCGAGGACAGUCAGGUUCUAACUGGAAUGGUAAUGCUGGCGGAAACAGUUGGGGCGGCACCAAUGGAUAUGGAAGUUCUAACGGGCCAUGGGAUGCUCCAGGAAAUGGUUGGUCACAAAGUAGUGGGGGACAAGGUUGGCAAGAUCAGUCUUAUGGUGGUGGUGGAAAUUCUGGCUGGAAUGGAGGAUAUCAACAGGGUUAUGGAGGUGGACCAAUGCGCAACAACUACAACACUAGCCAAAGAACUGCACCUUAUGGAGGAGGGUAUGGAGGAGGAUCGUCUUGGAAUAAUCGAUACUAAUGUAACAAUGAGGAAAUAAGAGAAGCUCAUUUCUAUUUGUAAAUCAAAUAAACAUUUGAUGCCUGGACAGGACAGUCAAGAAAUGGUUGGUCCAUUAGGUUAAGAAGGAAUUCAUCUGAUGAUAAAAUUGGUUGCCAAAGAAAACAAAAUUGGCGAAAACUGCAUUAUUUCAACCAUAAGAAUAUUUAAAACCCUACAUAACCGAGGCAAAUGAUAGUGAUUCACUUGUGACUCAUGGUUAUCUCAGAACUAUACAUUGAGAGAGAAUUGAAAUUAAGGCAACAGAGCCAAUUUUUGGUGGGAUGAGAUUUUAAUAAAUUAUACUUCCUAUUUCUUA
Molecule: unclassified non-coding RNA, 1485 nt
Filed under: Cimex lectularius (bed bug)
Lineage: Eukaryota; Metazoa; Arthropoda; Insecta; Hemiptera; Cimicidae
Description: heterogeneous nuclear ribonucleoprotein A1-like, transcript variant X1
Source: RNAcentral